Molecule: ribosomal RNA, 254 nt
Filed under: uncultured bacterium
Lineage: Bacteria
Description: partial 16S ribosomal RNA
Rfam family: Bacterial small subunit ribosomal RNA
Source: RNAcentral
UACGUAGGCAGCGAGCGUUGUUCGGAGUUACUGGGCGUAAAGGGUGUGUAGGCGGUUCUUUAAGUUUGGUGUGAAAUCUCCCGGCUCAACCGGGAGGGUGCGCCGAAUACUGAGGGACUUCGAGUGCGGGAGAGGAAAGUGGAAUUCCUGGUGUAGCGGUGAAAUGCGUAGAUAUCAAGAGGAACACCUGAGGUGAAGACGGGUUGCUGGGCUGACACUGACGCUGAGGCGCGAAAGCCAGGGGAGCAAACGGG